Long non-coding RNA from Populus euphratica (Euphrates poplar), 477 nucleotides. RefSeq lists it as uncharacterized. The transcript has 2 exons. NCBI's taxonomy places the organism in Eukaryota, Viridiplantae, Streptophyta, Magnoliopsida, Malpighiales, Salicaceae. The record is from RefSeq and is a predicted model, not a curated record.
AUGUUCAAGCCAUUGUCGAUUGCCAUUGCUGUUGCGAUGGGCGUCAUGUUCCUUGGUGAUACUCUUUAUCUCGGAAGUUUGAUCGGAGCAACAAUUAUAUCUAUUGGAUUUUACACCGUAAUGUGGGGGAAAGCCAAAGAAGAGCUGGGUGAUGAUUGCAAUGCUGCUAAGCCGGAAUCCUCGUGUGCCCAGAAGGUCCCUCUAUUACAAGGCUACAACGCUACGAAGCUACAAGAUGAACAAGCGUAGGUAGGAGCAGACAGACUUUAUAUGUACAUAAAAUUAACGGCAAAAGCCAAAUUGUUCGACAACCAUCCAGUUCUUGGAAAAGAAAAUGGCAUCCAUGGUCAGGCCUUGGUUUGUAUAUUGAGAAUUGAGAUCCUCAAACUCUCCCAGCUCUAGUCAGGUAAUUGCACAAGUUCACAUCACACUUAUGUCAAGAAAACCUUUCUUUGAAGGCUACACAUUGAUGCGGAA